Molecule: long non-coding RNA, 3087 nt
Organism: Mustela lutreola (European mink)
Lineage: Eukaryota; Metazoa; Chordata; Mammalia; Carnivora; Mustelidae
Exons: 3
Source: RefSeq, a predicted model, not a curated record
CAGGACGUUGGGGAGUAACAGGGGUUGGUGUGACGUGGAGAGACGGACCCCUCGUGCAUUGCUGGGGGGGUGGGUCGGGGAGGCAAAAUGGAGCAGCUGCUGAGAAACAGCUUGGCAGCCCCUCAAAACGGCAGUAAACAUGGAGCAGGCCUGUGACUUGAAGGCCCAGCCAGGGUCUGCAGCCCACGCUCCAAGGUGUGGCCUCCCCUGACCGCCGGAACCGCCCUGACCUUUCUCCCCACUCAGAGCCACCAAUGACCCCGUUGGCCGGGAACGUGCCCCACAGAGCAGGCCCCCGGGACCACCUGCCUGUCCUGGGUGUCCAGCUCCUCCCACAUCCUGGCCAGGCUUUCCAGUUCACGUGGACAGUCACCCUCAGCUGGCCUGACCCACGUUUCCCGGCCUCCCCCAGGCACGGCCUGGGCCGCUGGGCUCGCCUCAGGCAGCACGGGGUGGGUGACCUCAUUUAGGCCUGGAGCGGAACUAGAACAGGCUGCGCCAAUUAGCAGCUGCACGUGAGCGGGGGCCAGCCGAUCGGCCUCAGCCUCCCUGCACUUUUGUGGGUCAUGGAAAAUUCCACACCAAACGUUCUUCCAUGGGUAGGCGGAGUCCUGGGGGUGCCCUGCCCCUGAGGACAUGCCCAGUUUUGCCUCUUGCUUGCCCAUGACCCAAGGCUGAGGGCGUGCGGAGGCGGGGGCACACGGCCCCCAGAGAUCCCGAUUCGGUGGGGUUGGGGGCGAGGACCUGCAGUCCACACUCUCCCCGGCCGAUCAGGUGGUAGGAGGUCCUUACCCUGCCCAGCGAGGCACAGUGGGGUCCUGCCUUGCCCUGUCCCACCCAGGGUCAGGAGUCCGGGCACUGGACUGCUCUGUACCUGGGCUUGGGGGCCUCCGAUCACUGUCCCAGCCCCAGAGGCCAUCUGGCACCCGGCUGCCUGCACGGGGCCUGGCCUAGAGCCGGCGACAUGUCUCUGCUGCUGUGAGCCAGUGUCCCUGAGCCGCACAGGUGACUGGUGUGAGGGGAGCCCUGGCUGGGUGCUGAGGGCUGUCUUCUGGCCCAGGGCUGCUCUGGGGGCCAGCCAGGUGACCGGGGGCCAUUCCCCUGGCCUUGCCGGGCCCUAAUUCCCUUGAAAGCAUGCAAGGAGGUGCAGGAAGCCAGAUGGUCACUCAGGGUCUUUCCUGCUGACACUGGGGCCCCGAAUAUACUUUUUUAAUUUAUCCCAAACCACCCCUCUCCCCUUUAAAAAGAAGUGUGGUCUCAGUGGUCAGGGCCCAGACAGCUGGGCUUCCCUGUGGGCAAGUGCUUCGGAAGGUCAGGAAGCAGAGUGGGCCUUCUGGGAAUCGCCCCUCUGAUCUUCUGCCCUGUAGCCCCCGCAGAACCCGAGAACCAGGGGUAAGGGCCUGAGAGAGACCCCACCCCUUCGUUAGCACCGCUCCCCCUUCUGAGGAGCUGUACCUCUGCCUCUAUCCUCUGUCCUACCUCCCCCAUGGGGGUGGCCUCCUCUUGGGGCGGAGGAGCAGUAGCCCCCGCCAGCUUGGGAGUCCGGGGCUAGGGCUCAGCCCAGCUCAGCCUUAGAUAGAGCGCUCACUUCCGGGCCUCAGCUUGCCCGUCGGCAAAAUAGCUGUGCGGAGGAGAGGGCUCCGGGACGCUGGCCGCUCAGGUAGCUGUGAGGUUCCCGGCCUUUGCCUGCUCUUUUCUCCGUAAACCUUGUGACGUCCCUGGAAGCAGAAAGCGAGCAGGAAGGGCAAAGUCUCUGGGUGCACAGAGCCUGCUUUGUCUCCUGCUUAAACUGCAGGAAAAAAAAAAAAUCACCCUUUCAUUACCGUCUUCUUCCAAUAAGGAAACGGGCGGAAGCCAGCAUGACCAUGAGUCACAGUGUGAAUCCAGAUCCUCGGGGGGACAUUUAAAGGAUGCUCUGUUACCAGGCUGCCCCUUCCCCCACCCCCAUCGCCACUGGCAGCAAAGGGCCUCUGAGUCGGGGUCUGUUGGUGCUGCCGACAGCAGGUGCAGGCAUCCAGAAGAACCUGUGAGAUCCUUGGAGGACUGGUUACCACCCCCGUUUCACAGAUGUGGAAGCCCAGCUGUGCUCAGGCAGGACGCCAGGCCGCUCAGACACCAGGUGUGGCCGAGGCGGGCGGCCGUGGAGGAGCGUCUGGGGUCAGUGGUUGACAGGAGCGAGCGAGGAAAGAAGGAAGCCAGCAGGGCAGGACGGACGAGGCUCGCUCCUGGCCCGGAGCCCGAAAUCCCCAGGGGCCACUGCUGCUGCUGGACGUGGGGUUCCAGCCGGGCUCUGACGGCUCGCAGGAAAGAGUCAGCCGCAUCUACAGGUCAUUUUGGAAGGAGGAGGAGGACCAGGGGUGGCCGGUCCCCACAGCGUGCCCGCGCACCUGUCACAAAGCCGGCGGAUAAACAUCAGAUUCUGGAAUUUGAUUUUAGUGCAGUUCACUGAGCUUCCGGGCUAUAAAGAACAAGUAACUUGGACUAGUGUUCUGUGGUGCACCUAGCAUGACCAGAGCGUGUUUCGUGCCUGUGCUGAGGCAUCGCCUUGCUCUCCGGCGGCCGCAGUCCCUGCCCUUCUGACUGCUUUUCUUCCCUGUGCACCUGAGCCCAUCGAAGUUUCUGGACUGUAAUGUUCGCCCCAACCCUGGAACCAGGAGGAAACGUUUACUCGCUGACCGUCUUAGAGGAAGCACGGGCAGGUUGUCCCCGUUUGCAAAUACACUUUCUGCACUGAGAACUUUGUCACCUUCAAUUCAAGGCAGCAAGCAGGCUAGAGCAGAUCCAAUGUACCAGGCUGGGCAUAGCCUCUGUGUGGGGAAUGAGGGUUUGGGGAAUGGCGUGCCAGACGGUACCCUUUCCCGAGAGAUGCUGAACAGGUCUAAGUGUAACACCUUUCCCAUUUGCUGGAAAACCCGUCUUGCAUGGAGCAAUCCCACCGAGCAGGCCUGGUGGGGGGCAGGGGAGGCAUUUUGUAUUUUAGAAGGAAAGAGGUGGCAGUUACUUACUGGCAGUAGAACAUGAUGUAGAAAUAAAGAGCAGUUUGUAGCAGAAGUUUUCUAACUUUAUUUCCCAUGUCUAUUGGUAAAA